This 1065-nucleotide ribosomal RNA is filed under the name Senga sp. KD-2015. Its description in RNAcentral is "bacterial SSU rRNA". It matches the Rfam family "Eukaryotic small subunit ribosomal RNA", at positions 53 to 924 of the family's 1831-position model. The record is from RNAcentral. Lineage: Eukaryota; Metazoa; Platyhelminthes; Cestoda; Bothriocephalidea; Bothriocephalidae.
GCAUGUCUCAGUGCACGCCUUUAUACGGUGAAACCGCGAAUGGCUCAUUAAAUCAGCUAUGGUUUACUGGACCGUACCCGUUAAAUGGAUAACUGUAAUAACUCUAGAGCUAAUACAUGCAACUAUGCCCUGAACCGAAAGGCGAGGGGUGCACUUAUUAGAUCAGAAGCCAACCGAGCACUGGCCGCAAGGCUGGUGCCCGUUUUUUUUCUGGUGACUCUGGAUAAUUGUUACAGAUCGCAGUCGGCCAUGAGUCGGCGACGGGUCCUCCAAAUGUCUGCCCUAUCAACUUUCGAUGGUAGGUGACCUGCCUACCAUGGUGAUAACGGGUAACGGGGAAUCAGGGUUCGAUUCCGGAGAGGGAGCCUGAGAAACGGCUACCACUUCCAAGGGAGGCAGCAGGCGCGCAAAUUACCCACUCCCAGCACGGGGAGGUGGUGACGAAAAAUACCGAUGCGGGACUCCCAAACGAGGCUCCGUAAUCGGAAUGAGUCAACUAUAAAUCCUUUAACGAGGAUCAAUUGGAGGGCAAGUCUGGUGCCAGCAGCCGCGGUAACUCCAGCUCCAAUAGCGUAUAUUAAAGUUGCUGCAGUUAAAAAGCUCGUAGUUGGAUCUCGGUAUCAUUGUUGCCUGCUGGCCUUAGAGGCGUUCGCCGGCCUAUCAGUGCAUGGGUGAGCCUGUGUAUUGUGUGGCUGGCAGCUUUGGGUCGGUGUGGCGGCGGUGACACCUUUUCAGCCAUGUCUGUGGUGCAAUAUCCACAGGUGUAGGCGAGUGCCAGGCGUAGCCCUGCAACUGUGGGGGUUCGUCGGCUUGUCUGCAUGCCUAUGGGAUGCCCUUCAAAAAGGUGUCUGUGGGCCGGAUGGAACGUUUUACUUUUGAACAAAUUUUGAGUGGCUCAAACCAGGGCCCGAUGCUUGCCUGAAAAAGUUUGGCAUGGGAAUAAAUGGGAAUAAGGACUUUCGGUUUCGAUUUUCCGUUGGGAUUUUCGGAAUCCGGAAGUUAAUGGAUCCAAAAAGAAGACAGGGCGGGGGAACGUUUUGUAAUGGCUUGCCCCUAGAAGGUUGA